Long non-coding RNA from Bos taurus (domestic cattle), 2927 nucleotides. The record is from Ensembl. NCBI's taxonomy places the organism in Eukaryota, Metazoa, Chordata, Mammalia, Artiodactyla, Bovidae.
CCUAAGACCCAAUGCAGCCAAACAGAAUAUGAAUAAAUAUAUUUUAAAAUGUCAGAGGUUCCAGGCAGGCGGGUUAAUUCCCCAGCCUGUGGCUUAACGCGUGCAUCACACCCUGCUCACACGCGCUUAGUGGCAACAUCGUGAAGACCAUACCGAAGGAAACGACACAACAGCAAACCCUGAGAGGAGACACCCCCCGCCGCCAUGGACAGCUGUGUUGCUGUAUCGCUGGGUCCCUGCACAGAAAUUUGGGUGUAAAAGGAAACCUUGAGAAGUGUGGAGACAUAAAGAGUAUCUCUAAGAAGAAAAGUAGGGUUUGGCAGUGAAUCUUUUUCUGUGCAUAAUUUAACUUCUUUCUUUGCUACCCUGAACCAGAAGGGAAUAAAGUUAAAUAUAGACCUUGAGAUACCGCCAGACUUGUGCAAAUAGACAUUAGGAAGAGUGUUGAAAGUUGCAGAAAACUACAGAGUACAAUUAAAUUUUUGUCCAUCAAUCACUGCUUGCUAGGUACUCUUACAGAAGUUUUGUGUGAGAAUGCUGUUUUAUCUCUAAAGGAAGGUAUUAUUCACCAGCUUUUAGAGAUGAUGGCCUUCGGAGAGAUUAAGUAACUUGCCUGAAGUCACACAGCUGGAAAAAGGGUUGAAACCCAGGUUUGUCUGAGUUAUCAGUGCCUAUCUUUUUCAAUGUAUUUGUUGCCUCCACCAGGAGACUCAUCUCUCAGAGAGACACAUACACAGGCCUCCUGGGGGCACGUAUGUGUCCUGCUUCUAUUUGUCUUUCACGCUUCAUGUUUAUGUGAUGCUAAGAAGCUCAUGUUUCCGGUUUGCUCUGAAAAUUCAAAUGGCUACCCUGUCUCGCUCUACUCCCCAUCCACCUGGUAGUUAAUAAUCACUACUUCCUGGGCAGGAAUUACCCCUGCAGAAUCAUCCUUUCUCCCCCUGCCCUCUUCAGCAGCUUGGCCAGUGUCAAUAACCCCAGACAGAAAUUCAAACAUAGUCAGAGGGACUUCCCUGGUGGCCCAGUGGUUAAGAAUCCUCCUGCCAAUGCAGGGGGUGGGGACACAGGUUCCAUCCCUGGUCUGGGAAGAUCCCACGUGCUGUGGGGCAACGGAGUCCUUGUGCCGUACCUACUGAGCCCGUGUUCUAGAGCCCAGGAGCCGCAACACCGACGACUGUGUGCCCUGGAGCCCCUGCACCACAGCAAGAGAAGCCACCGCAGUGAGAAGCCCGUGCGCUGCAACUUGAGAGCAGCCCCCACUUGCUGUAACUUCAGAAAGCCCCGGUGCAGUAGCAAGGUCCCAGUGCAGCCAAAAUUAAAAUAAAUAAAUACUAAAAAAAAAAAAAAAUAGACAGUGGCAACUCCAGCUCCAGACAAGGAAACAGGCCCUGGCCCCACCCGCCUCUAGGCUCAAGGGUCUGUUAAUAUCACCUUGGAGAAUCCAUCUCAAGACUUUUCAGCAUCAGGAGGGGCUUCCAAACUCUGACCAGCAGAGGAAAUGAGGCCACGUUGAACCAACAGCACUGUUUUCUGCCAGCCGCAAACACUUGGCAAGAAGGAAGGCUUGGAACAGGUGGGUGAUGCUUUUUAAUUGGAUGGGCCUCGCGGCUGUAACAAAAAUCAAUAUAUGGCUGGGGCGGCUGCGCAGGCGUUGAUGCAUCUGGGCCUCGCGGCUGGUGCCUGAGCCUGUGUUGGAGGCGCCCCCUGGGGCGGUGGGGGUCUGGGGGAUCCGCGGGGGGCUCACCUUAUUGGAUCAGAUGAGCUGGGGGGGGAGGGGGCGUUGGCUCUGAGCAGAGCGGAUGAGACAACGGUUCUGUGGAGCCGUCAAGUUUAUGUUUCCUUCCAAAUGAGGCGUUGGGGGGAGAGAAGAGUCGCUGGGUACUCAGGCCACGAGGGAAGCUUUGACCCGGUCUGGAGGUUUUUCUCAGGAACACAUGAACGGGGCACGGCCUCUCUUGGUGUCCCUCCUGGGUCAGGGGGCCUGGAGGGGACCCAGGCUGGAGAGCAGGUCUGGGAGCCUGGUGAGGCCCCAUCAGGAGCCAGGCCCAGAGCUGGGGACAGACGGCAGGAAACCACCGCGACAGCCAGAAAAGCGCUCCCAGCUCCGAGCGUGGGCACCCAGCGGCCAGGCAGGAGCGGCCGCCACAGCCCGCGACGCGCCUUCCGAGGACUUCCAGGGCUGCUUCUAGACGCCUCUGCAGCAUGGGGGCUGCGCACUGCCUGCGAACGGCGCCAAGAGCCCAUUCCACCGUUCCUAACCAGAAAAGUCCUCCUUUCACAUUUGAUAAUGUCAAAUAUAAUUUGAAAUACGUUAUGGCCAGUCUAAUUACAGUUUCUUUGUCCUGAGUGAGUGUUUCACGCACACACACGCAUCUGAAGAAGAAAGCUCAGCCUUGGGACUGCCCUAGCCCCACCUGAGCCUGACUCUCUGGAAAACACCAAUGAUGUACACGUGACGAGUCUGUGGAAGCCUUGCUGGCAGGCUGGGCUGCGUUUUUUUCAAAACCUCAGGUUUUCCCAGCCACAUAAGCUAUUCUUUCUCAAGGCAUGACUUUUGUGUAGAAAUUUAUCAUAUUUUUUCAUCAUUCCAGAAGUGAAUUAUUUUUUUUUUUUUGGAAAUUGAAGAAAAUCCUUUAAGCUGUCCGGGACUCACUCAAGCAUGUAAAAAGGGUAUUUUUCAACCAUAGUUCAGAUGCUGAGUAUGUUCUCAGCCUGAAUCAUCUGAAUUUAAAACUCUGCAUUGGGCCUCUUAGCCCAACAGCUGAGUGUCUUAAAAAGGGGCCAUUUAUAAAGAAAAAUACGGUCGUGAAAUAAAGGAUAUGUGGAGUUAGAGAUCCUGCGGGUUACAGUAAUAGAUUGAAAGUCAUAAAUCUUAGUUUCUAUUCUUGGCUCCAGAAAGAAUUUAUGUGUUCACUGCAUCUGGCACGUGG